RNAcentral lists this ribosomal RNA (433 nucleotides) under uncultured bacterium. RNAcentral describes it as "partial 16S ribosomal RNA". It matches the Rfam family "Bacterial small subunit ribosomal RNA", at positions 29 to 507 of the family's 1533-position model. The record is from RNAcentral.
AACGAACGCUGGCGGCAUGCCUAACACAUGCAAGUCGAACGAGACCUUCGGGUCUAGUGGCGCACGGGUGCGUAACGCGUGGGAACCUGCCCUUAGGUUCGGAAUAACUCCCCGAAAGGGGUGCUAAUACCGGAUAAUGUCUUCGGACCAAAGAUUUAUCGCCUUUGGAUGGUCCCGCGUUGGAUUAGCUAGUUGUUAGGGUAAAAGCCUACCAAGGCGACGAUCCAUAGCUGGUCUGAGAGGAUGAUCAGCCACACUGGGACUGAGACACGGCCCAGACUCUUACGGGAGGCAGCAGUGGGGAAUAUUGGAAAAUGGGCGAAAGCCUGAUCCAGCAAUGACGGGUGAGUGAUGAAGGCCUUAGGGUUGUAAAGCUCUUUUACCCGGGAUGAUAAUGACAGUACCGGGAGAAUAAGCUCCGGCUAACUCCGUG